RNAcentral lists this ribosomal RNA (317 nucleotides) under uncultured Mycoplasmatota bacterium. RNAcentral's name for it is "bacterial SSU rRNA". It matches the Rfam family "Bacterial small subunit ribosomal RNA", at positions 28 to 351 of the family's 1533-position model. The record is from RNAcentral. Lineage: Bacteria; Bacillati; Mycoplasmatota.
GAUGAACGCUGGCGGCAUGCCUAAUACAUGCAAGUCGAACGAGAGUAGCAAUACUCUAGUGGCGAACGGGUGAGUAACACGUAGGUAAUCUACCCUUAAGACGAGGAUACCGUUGGGAAACUGACGUUAAGACUGGAUAGGACAACAUAAAUCGCAUGAUAAGUUGUUUAAAGCUUAGAAGCACUUAAGGAGGAACCUGCGGCGCAUUAGCUAGUUGGUGAGGUAACGGCCCACCAAGGCGAUGAUGCGUAGCCGGACUGAGAGGUUGAACGGCCACAUUGGGACUGAGACACGGCCCAAACUCCUACGGGUGGCAG